UACGAAGGGGGCUAGCGUUGUUCGGAAUUACUGGGCGUAAAGGGCGCGCAGGCGGCCCUCUAAGUCAGGCGUGAAAGCCCCGGGCUCAACCCGGGAACAGCGCUUGAGACUGGGGGGCUUGAGUUCGGGAGAGGAGAGUGGAAUUCCCAGUGUAGAGGUGAAAUUCGUAGAUAUUGGGAAGAACACCGGUGGCGAAGGCGGCUCUCUGGACCGACACUGACGCUGAGGCGCGAAAGCGUGGGGAGCAAACAGG
RNAcentral lists this ribosomal RNA (253 nucleotides) under uncultured bacterium. Its description in RNAcentral is "partial 16S ribosomal RNA". It matches the Rfam family "Bacterial small subunit ribosomal RNA", at positions 524 to 776 of the family's 1533-position model. The record is from RNAcentral.